Molecule: ribosomal RNA, 102 nt
Filed under: uncultured bacterium
Lineage: Bacteria
Description: partial 16S ribosomal RNA
Source: RNAcentral
CACACCGCCCGUCACACCAUGAGAGCUGUUUGUACCCAAAAUCAUUUUAGCCAACCUGGAAAAAGGGGGCGAAUGCCUAAGGUAUGUAUGGUGAUUGGGGUG